UGGGGAAUUUUGGACAAUGGGCGAAAGCCUGAUCCAGCAAUGCCGCGUGUGUGAAGAAGGCCUUCGGGUUGUAAAGCACUUUUGUCCGGAAAGAAAUCCUUGGCUCUAAUACAGUCGGGGGAUGACGGUACCGGAAGAAUAAGCACCGGCUAACUACGUGCCAGCAGCCGCGGUAAUACGUAGGGUGCAAGCGUUAAUCGGAAUUACUGGGCGUAAAGCGUGCGCAGGCGGUUUGCUAAGACCGAUGUGAAAUCCCCGGGCUCAACCUGGGAACUGCAUUGGUGACUGGCAGGCUAGAGUAUGGCAGAGGGGGGUAGAAUUCCACGUGUAGCAGUGAAAUGCGUAGAGAUGUGGAGGAAUACCGAUGGCGAAGGCAGCCCCCUGGGCCAAUACUGACGCUCAUGCACGAAAGCGUGGGGAGCAAACAGGAUUAGAUACCCCUGGUAGUCCCACGCCCUAAAACGAUGUCAACUAGUUGUUGGGGAUUCAUUUCCUUAGUAACGUAGCUAACGCGUGAAGUUGACCGCCUGGGGAGUACGGUCGCAAGAUUAAAACUUAAAUGAAUUG
This 567-nucleotide ribosomal RNA is filed under the name uncultured bacterium. RNAcentral describes it as "partial 16S ribosomal RNA". It matches the Rfam family "Bacterial small subunit ribosomal RNA", at positions 355 to 912 of the family's 1533-position model. The record is from RNAcentral.